GAAAAACUGCAUAGCUGCAAGCAGACGAACGGUCUCAAACAAAACCAAGCAUCACGAACUUGAAAGGAACCGAACAAUAAUCUGAGGCCAGUGAGCAAUCCUAACCAUGACCAAUUCAGAGCGAAAACUUCAGUUCAUCUAGCCUUUGAUCAAGCCCAAAAUAUCCAUGACAAAUCCAUCGCACCAAACAUGAAUUGACACAAACCAACCGAUCGCGCAUAUUGUACCCAACACAGCAAACCACAAUUAGCCAUAAACCAAUCGAAAGAGAUACUGUGUUCAGAAAACUAACACAACAGCAGAAGCAAAUCGCCG
This 315-nucleotide unclassified non-coding RNA is filed under the name Hevea brasiliensis (rubber tree). Lineage: Eukaryota; Viridiplantae; Streptophyta; Magnoliopsida; Malpighiales; Euphorbiaceae. The record is from RNAcentral.